AGUUGUAUGAGCCCAUUAUUAUUCAAAUCUCGGCCCGACAUGACUUUUAGGUUUGUAUUAGCAUCUAUGUGGUCAUGGUGGAUGUUCAGCACUGUAAACAAUCAGUUUUCAUGGUUUCCGAUGGUUGAAAUGUUUCCCCUUUUCUUUAUUUCACCAUUAAUCCAAUCAUUUAACUACGCUCCACAUCCUCUUCCACUCCGUCUCAUUAAUUCGGUCUCAUCAUCGUUGAAGGUAACGGUUUGAAGCUCGACGUAUAAAUGUCUUCUCCCGGAUGGAUCCAGACCUACACCGGCCAGUUAUCUGCAACCUUAAAUCCAUCUUGCCUGCGCUCGUCACCAAUUUCAUUCAGUAUAUAUAUGAAUUAGAAAGGAGGCCACAACAAAUCUGUUCGUCUCCCAUACUUUAUCAAACCCAAAUCUCUGAAGGAAAUUAGGCAAGUGGGAACCAAAGAGCAUCGUAAGAAUAACUCUGCUGAUUCGGGUAGAAAAAGCUUAGUCUUGUCUGAAUGGUAACUGAGAGAAAAACCAUUAUAGCUGCAGCUAAGGCUUUGCAAAUCUUGAAGGAAGAAAAUAAACCAAAGGAGUAGGGUGUUCUAAGUAAGCCAAAUAAAAUCUAAGUUAGCUUUUGAACCUGUAAGAUUCUUUGUAAGAACUUUGUAUUUCCAUUUACAGACAUGUUGUGUCUUCA
Brassica oleracea var. oleracea is the source of this 687-nucleotide long non-coding RNA. RefSeq lists it as uncharacterized. The transcript has 2 exons. The record is from RefSeq and is a predicted model, not a curated record. Lineage: Eukaryota; Viridiplantae; Streptophyta; Magnoliopsida; Brassicales; Brassicaceae.